UCAGAUCAAUCUAUCAGAAUUUCAUCUCAUACAAAAUAGGGUUUAUUUAGCCCUUACCGACCCUACAGUAGGCCUACAGUCGAGCGAUGCAACCCGUACGACCCUAGGAAAAAUUACAUAAAUAUGGGCCCAUAUGCCCGUGUGGGUCCACACCCCUAGAUUGUCCUUGCUUUUGUGGCCCACAUGGCCUGGCCCAAGGAUCCACACGCCAGUGUGCCAUGUCUGUGUGGGCCCACACGGCCACACUCGAGACAUCACACGGCUGUGUUCUGCGUACGGCCAUGCCUUCGUCGAC
This 295-nucleotide long non-coding RNA is filed under the name Gossypium barbadense (sea-island cotton). RNAcentral's name for it is "long non-coding RNA (GBAR_LNC005129)". The record is from RNAcentral. Lineage: Eukaryota; Viridiplantae; Streptophyta; Magnoliopsida; Malvales; Malvaceae.